Triticum urartu is the source of this 126-nucleotide non-coding RNA. NCBI's taxonomy places the organism in Eukaryota, Viridiplantae, Streptophyta, Magnoliopsida, Poales, Poaceae. The record is from Rfam.
GUGGUACUCGCUCCAUCCGAAAAAACUUGUCCUAAACUUGUUCCUCAAAUAGAUGUAUCUACCACUAACUUGGUGUUAGAUACAUCCAUUUGAUGGACAAGCUUUUUCGGACGAAGGAAGUAUUCA